AGUGAACGCUGGCGGUAGGCCUAACACAUGCAAGUCGAACGGCAGCACAGGAGAGCUUGCUCUCUGGGUGGCGAGUGGCGGACGGGUGAGGAAUACAUCGGAAUCUACUUUUUCGUGGGGGAUAACGUAGGGAAACUUACGCUAAUACCGCAUACGACCUACGGGUGAAAUCAGGGGACCUUCGGGCCUUGCGCGAAUGAAUGCGCCGAUGUCGGAUUAGCUAGUUGGCGGGGUAAAGGCCCACCAAGGCGACGAUCCGUAGCUGGUCGGAGAGGAUGAUCAGCCACACUGGAACUGAGACACGGUCCAGACUCCUACGGGAGGCAGCAGUGGGGAAUAUUGGACAAUGGGCGCAAGCCUGAUCCAGCCAUACCGCGUGGGUGAAGAAGGCCUUCGGGUUGUAAAGCCCUUUUGUUGGGAAAGAAAUCCAGCUGGCUAAUACCCGGUUGGGAUGACGGUACCCAAAGAAUAAGCACCGGCUAACUUCGUGCCAGCCGCCGCGGUAA
This 506-nucleotide ribosomal RNA is filed under the name uncultured bacterium. Its description in RNAcentral is "partial 16S ribosomal RNA". It matches the Rfam family "Bacterial small subunit ribosomal RNA", at positions 29 to 523 of the family's 1533-position model. The record is from RNAcentral.